GAUGAACGCUAGCGGCAGGCCUAACACAUGCAAGUCGAGGGGUAGGGUUAGCUUGCUAACUUGAGACCGGCGCACGGGUGCGUAACGCGUAUGCAAUCUACCUUGUACGGGGGGAUAGCCCAGAGAAAUUUGGAUUAAUACCCCAUGGUGUUAUGAUGUGGCAUCACAUUAUAACUAAAGUUCCAACGGUACAAGAUGAGCAUGCGUCCCAUUAGCUAGUUGGUGUGGGAACGGCAUACCAAGGCAAUGAUGGGUAGGGGUCCUGAGAGGGGGGUCCCACACACUGGUACCGAGACACGGACCAGACUCCGCCGGGAGGCAGCAGUGAGGAAUAUUGGUCAAUGGGCGCAAGCCUGAACCAGCCAUGCCGCGUGCAGGAUGACGGUCCUAUGGAUUGUAAACUGCUUUUAUACGGGAAGAAACACUCCUACGUGUAGGAACUUGACGGUACCGUAAGAAUAAGGAUCGGCUAACUCCGUGCCAGCAGCCGCAGUAA
RNAcentral lists this ribosomal RNA (496 nucleotides) under uncultured bacterium. RNAcentral's name for it is "partial 16S ribosomal RNA". It matches the Rfam family "Bacterial small subunit ribosomal RNA", at positions 28 to 523 of the family's 1533-position model. The record is from RNAcentral.